Molecule: long non-coding RNA, 2060 nt
Filed under: Homo sapiens (human)
Lineage: Eukaryota; Metazoa; Chordata; Mammalia; Primates; Hominidae
Description: PREDICTED lncRNA (TCONS_00025407)
Source: RNAcentral
ACCUCUAGCCAGGGACGCGCGCUCGGUCCCCCGCCGUGCGCCCCCGGUCCCGCGCCCAGGCUCCCGCCCCUGGCCUCCUUACCAGCCACUUGUCGCCCAGCUGCGAACUGGAGCGGGAGGCGGCGGCCGGAGGGCCCAGGACAGCCCCGGGAGGGCGGCGAGGCGGAGCAGGAGCGCCCCGGCUCCGGCCACAUUCUCAGAGUCAGGAAAAGGGGCGAGAGGCCACAUGUCUCCCUCUCGCCCAACUGAAAACGAAACGGCGCUCCAGCAGAUUGGGUGGAAAGAGCUGGGUCUCUUUUCUCUGUUUUUCACGCUAGAAAGGGCUUGUAAACAUUGUUCCUUUUAAAAUGACCUACCCCAGGCAUUUGUUUGGGCACACUUCUGUCCUGGGGUCAUCGUUCCUAGGUGGCUUCGGACCUGGGACUUUUCCUGUAUCUGCACAUUGUCGUUUUAUACACAAUUGCCAAGGUGGGACUGCUUUCAACUUUACUGUGCUUGAAGCUGCAAAGGUUCUGCCCUGAUGUUUCCUGGAAUAAUGCUGAGGACUGCCUUUCGGGUAGCCGCCCUAUUCAGUUCACUUCAUCUCGGAAAUACCUGACCCCUGCCUUGGAUCCAGCGGCCCUCCUGAGAGCUGAGGAAGGAGGAAAUCCUAUGUGUCUGCUCCCGGAGCUGCCACAACCCAUCUUCCCACAACUCGGAACUUGGAAAAAGGAACCCAGGACACGACUUUGCUUUUCUUUUGGACCUAGUUGAUACAAGUUAACAGGAUAUGCUUCUGGCCUGUUUCUGGAUUCUAAGGGUAGAACCAGCAUAAAACUAGUCAGUCCAAGUAUUUCUAAAGAUCCACAGACACAGUUCUCCUGGAUUUGGGAAGCCUAGAGAUAUUAGCACAAUAAUUAAGGCCCAAAGGCAGCACAUAAGAGAGGGAAAGCCAUGCGCGUGGAGUCCAGCACAUCACCCAGAAGGCAGAUGUUCUAUCUCCAUUUUACUCAUUAAAACAAACAAAACCACACCUGGAUUGCCUGCAACUUUUAAAAGCCUUUCCACUGCACAGUGAAAGAAAACCACAAACUCCUUGUUUAAUAAGUGGGAUCACGUGCUUUUAACACGAGGAAAAGGUCAAUCUGAAGCAACUGAUAUGGAACUGCCAGAGUAGGAGUUGAAAAUCUUCCUAAACUGCUGGAGGAUACACCUCUGAUAGCUUGAGACAAAUAUCCUCUUGAUCAUUGUUUCACCAUAUUUGUCUUUGCUCAUGGAGAACCAUUUUGAUCCGUGGUUUAGCCUCCCAGGUGAUUGAACAAUACCGGUGAUCUGAGGCAGACCCUCUGUGACGGAUAACAGAAAAGAAAAUUGAGGAUCAGAAAAUACGCACAAUUUGCAAAAACCAUGGGAAAGAAUAUUGAUUGAACAUCUACUCAAGAACUGCAAAACAGAGAUUACCUGACCUAAAGCAUUUAUAUUGCCAAUCAUGUUGGAGAGUCCAUGUGGUGAUUUCUGAAAACGAGAUGUGAGAAAGAAGAGGAUAAUUUAAGUCUAGACCUACAGAUUGUGCUGAUAAAGUGAUGAAGAACUACAAUCUUCUUAGUCAUUUCAUUGUAUAAGUGCAAUAAAGGAUUUUGUGUCUUUCCUGGCAAACAACUUGUGACCACAGUGAUGGCUCCAGCAGAAUGGAAAAGACCCUUUACCUCACAUCUCAGAAGUAAAGAUGCUGAUUAUUUGACAUCGCCAUUGGAAUCUCAAAACAGUGUAAAGCAUUUGCUAAAAAGAGUCACUUUCUGAGAAAUGACUCAGAAUUCGACUUACGUACUAGCAGAACUUAUUGCCCAUAAAAGGAAAGGCCACACUUUUUGUGAAAACUUAAUAAUCCCUAGGAUGUAAAAUUAUACUGAGUUAAAUCCUAGUCCCAUUUUUAGUACAAGAAACUGGAAAAAAAUAAUCCACUCUCAAAUGGUAAGACAAAUUGAGAUAUUGCUGAAAAGCCUCUUGACCCUGAAAAGUUCUGAAUAAUAAACUGAUAAAAGCAGCAGCAGCAUCUAACUUGACACCAGUCAUGUCAUUUG